UACAGAGGUCCCAAGCGUUGUUCGGAUUCACUGGGCGUAAAGGGUGCGUAGGUGGGCAGGUAAGUCAGUGGUGAAAUCUCCGAGCUUAACUCGGAAACUGCCGUUGAUACUAUUUGUCUUGAAUAUUGUGGAGGUAAGCGGAAUAUGUCAUGUAGCGGUGAAAUGCUUAGAUAUGACAUAGAACACCAAUUGCGAAGGCAGCUUACUACACAACGAUUGACGCUGAGGCACGAAAGCGUGGGGAUCAAACAGG
This 253-nucleotide ribosomal RNA is filed under the name uncultured bacterium. RNAcentral's name for it is "partial 16S ribosomal RNA". It matches the Rfam family "Bacterial small subunit ribosomal RNA", at positions 524 to 776 of the family's 1533-position model. The record is from RNAcentral.